Molecule: RNA transcript, 1406 nt
Organism: Brienomyrus brachyistius
Lineage: Eukaryota; Metazoa; Chordata; Actinopteri; Osteoglossiformes; Mormyridae
Gene name: trace amine-associated receptor 1-like
Exons: 3
Source: RefSeq, a predicted model, not a curated record
UCACGUGAAUUAACGUCUGAUAUACUUGAUAUGAUUGUUCGGGGGCGGCACAGUGAAGCAGGGAUUCGUCGUUUCCUCUGGGAUCUGAGUCUCAGACUCUGCCCCGGCUCCACAUGUGAGACGUUUGCAUGUUCUCCCCUUGUCGCCGUGGGGUUUCCUCUGGGCUUUCCAGUUUGCUCCUACAGUCCAAAACCAUGCUAAGGUUGCAAAGGUUGUUUUUUUAUCCUUUGGAACACAAAAAGAUGAGAACUAACCAUUCUGGGACUGAAAAUAUACAUUAUUGCUUUGAAUCCUCAAACACUUCCUGCCUAAAGCACAUUUAUCCAACCACAAUACGAGCCCCUUUGUAUGUUCUGUUAGGGGCCACCGUGCUCCUCACUGUGCUUGGAAAUCUCCUCGUCAUCGUUACUAUAUCCCACUCCAAACAGCUGCACACUCCCACCAAUUACCUCAUCCUCUCCCUGGCUGUCAGCGACUUCCUCCUGGGGGCAGUGGUCAUGCCGCCUAGCCUGAUACGCUCCCUGGAAACCUGCUGGUAUUUGGGUGACUGGUUCUGUAAGAUCCACACCAGUAUAGAAACUUUACUCACUACAGCAUCUGUUUUUAUGCUUUAUUUGAUUUCUGUUGAGCGAUACGUUGCUGUUUCUCAGCCUCUGUUGUAUCACGCUUUGAUCACUAACUGUGUUGCCAAGUACAUGAUCCUGACCUGCUGGGUUCUUUCUGCCCUUGCCACCUUUGGGUUGGAGCUAAACAGCUUGACAAUUCAGGAUGUUUACCUCACACAGUUUGUCUGUGAGGGAAGGUGUGCUGUGUUACUAGACAAGGCAUCAAGCAUAUUAUUUUCCCUUUUUGUUUUCUUCAUCCCAGGGUUAUUUAUGCUUGGCCUCUACCUGAAAAUCCUAGUUAUUGCACAUAAACAAGCCCGUUCAAUUCAGGUCACAAUUCUUAUUGCUGAGAACCGUGAAAAGACCACAAUCAUUCUGUCUAAGAUGGAGCAAAAAUCCACCAGGACACUGGGCAUAGUUACUGCUGUGUUCCUGUCCUGCUGGUCGCCCUGUUUUAUAUGCAUAAUAAUAGACCCAGUCACUGGUUUAUCCACACCAUACCUGUAUGAGAUUUUUGUAUGGAUGUGCUAUUUAAAUUCAGGAAUGAAUCCCAUCAUUUAUUCUUUCUUAUUUAAAUGGUUUAGGGAGUCACUGAGAAAAGCCUUUAGUAAAAUAUUAAACAGUUUUGAUUAAUGUUACUAUGGAGGGUCCAGGUUAAAUGCUGGUAAAUGUACAGUGUGACUGAGGUUUCUGUCUUUUCUCCUCAUUUCCCACAUCGAUGUUACUGCUCCUCUGAUACUGACUCCUGUGUCUGUAAUUAUCAUCACUGACUGUCUGCCUUUCAUGUCAGGGCAUAAGCAC